GUGCCCUUAGCUCAGUUGGAUAGAGCAACAGCCUUCUAAGCUGUGGGUCGAAGGUUCGACUCCUUCAGGGCACGCCA
This 77-nucleotide transfer RNA is filed under the name Succinatimonas hippei. RNAcentral describes it as "tRNA-Arg". It matches the Rfam family "tRNA". From Rfam's summary of the family: Transfer RNA (tRNA) molecules are approximately 80 nucleotides in length. Their secondary structure includes four short double-helical elements and three loops (D, anti-codon, and T loops). RNAcentral also lists the same sequence under 1 other name. Lineage: Bacteria; Pseudomonadati; Pseudomonadota; Gammaproteobacteria; Aeromonadales; Succinivibrionaceae. The record is from RNAcentral.